RNAcentral lists this ribosomal RNA (253 nucleotides) under uncultured bacterium. Its description in RNAcentral is "partial 16S ribosomal RNA". It matches the Rfam family "Bacterial small subunit ribosomal RNA", at positions 524 to 776 of the family's 1533-position model. The record is from RNAcentral.
UACGUAGGGGGCAAGCGUUGUCCGGAAUCAUUGGGCGUAAAGAGCGCGUAGGCGGCCCUGUAAGUCCGCUGUGAAAGUCAAGGGCUCAACCCUUGGAUGCCGGUGGAUACUGCAGGGCUAGAGUCCGGAAGAGGCGAGUGGAAUUCCUGGUGUAGCGGUGAAAUGCGCAGAUAUCUGGAGGAAUACCGGUGGCGAAGGCGGCAUCCUGGACCGGCAUUGACGCUGAGGAGCGAAAGCCAGGGGAGCAAACGGG